Non-coding RNA from Staphylococcus carnosus subsp. carnosus TM300, 79 nucleotides. The record is from Rfam. NCBI's taxonomy places the organism in Bacteria, Bacillati, Bacillota, Bacilli, Caryophanales, Staphylococcaceae.
AGCUACAUACAACCGCUCAAAUAUAGGUAUAAGUAUAUUGAUAAAAUAUCACCUAUAUAUGGCGUGACUUAUUAUAUAG